RNAcentral lists this ribosomal RNA (253 nucleotides) under uncultured bacterium. RNAcentral describes it as "partial 16S ribosomal RNA". It matches the Rfam family "Bacterial small subunit ribosomal RNA", at positions 524 to 776 of the family's 1533-position model. The record is from RNAcentral.
UACGUAGGGUGCGAGCGUUAAUCGGAAUUACUGGGCGUAAAGCGUGCGCAGGCGGUUCGUGAUGUCUGGUGUGAAAGCCCCGGGCUUAACCUGGGAAUUGCAUUGGAAACUAGCGGGCUGGAGUGUGGCAGAGGGGGGUGGAAUUCCGCGUGUAGCAGUGAAAUGCGUAGAUAUGCGGAGGAACACCGAUGGCGAAGGCAAUCCCCUGGGCCUGCACUGACGCUCAUGCACGAAAGCGUGGGGAGCAAACAGG